GGACUACCGGGGUUUCUAAUCCUGUUCGCUCCCCACGCUUUCGUACCUCAGUGUCAGGAGUGGCCCAGCAAGCUGCCUUCGCCAUUGGUGUUCUUCGUAAUAUCUACGCAUUUCACUGCUACACUACGAGUUCCACUUGCCUCUGCCGUCCUCUAGGCGCCCAGUAUGAGAUGCAACGAUAUGGUUGAGCCACACGAUUUCACAUCUCACUUAAACACCCACCUACGCACGCUUUACGCCCAGUGAUUCCGGAUAACGCUUGGACCCUACGUAUUACCGCGGCUGCUGGCAC
This 292-nucleotide ribosomal RNA is filed under the name uncultured bacterium. RNAcentral's name for it is "partial 16S ribosomal RNA". The record is from RNAcentral.